This 72-nucleotide transfer RNA is filed under the name Candidatus Gottesmanbacteria bacterium. RNAcentral's name for it is "tRNA-Ile". It matches the Rfam family "tRNA". Rfam says of the family: Transfer RNA (tRNA) molecules are approximately 80 nucleotides in length. Their secondary structure includes four short double-helical elements and three loops (D, anti-codon, and T loops). Further hydrogen bonds mediate the characteristic L-shaped molecular structure. tRNAs have two regions of fundamental functional importance: the anti-codon, which is responsible for specific mRNA codon recognition, and the 3' end, to which the tRNAs corresponding amino acid is attached (by aminoacyl-tRNA synthetases). tRNAs cope with the degeneracy of the genetic code in two manners: having more than one tRNA (with a specific anti-codon) for a particular amino acid; and 'wobble' base-pairing, i.e. permitting non-standard base-pairing at the 3rd anti-codon position. The record is from RNAcentral. Lineage: Bacteria; Candidatus Gottesmaniibacteriota.
GGGCCUGUAGCUCAGUGGCAGAGCGCCAAACUUAUAAUUUGGAUGUCCUUGGUUCGAUCCCAAGCAGGCCCA